UACGAGAGGCCCAAACGUUAUUCGGAAUUACUGGGCGUAAAGAGCGCGCAGGCGGUCGUGCAAGUCGCGUGUGAAAGCCCCCGGCUCAACUGGGGAGGGUCACGCGAUACUGCUCGACUCGAAGGCAGGAGAGGGAAGUGGAAUUCCCGGUGUAGUGGUGAAAUGCGUAGAUAUCGGGAGGAACACCAGUGGCGAAGGCGACUUCCUGGCCUGUUCUUGACGCUGAGGCGCGAAAGCUAGGGUAGCAAACGGG
RNAcentral lists this ribosomal RNA (253 nucleotides) under uncultured bacterium. RNAcentral describes it as "partial 16S ribosomal RNA". It matches the Rfam family "Bacterial small subunit ribosomal RNA", at positions 524 to 776 of the family's 1533-position model. The record is from RNAcentral.